RNAcentral lists this ribosomal RNA (372 nucleotides) under uncultured prokaryote. RNAcentral's name for it is "bacterial SSU rRNA". It matches the Rfam family "Bacterial small subunit ribosomal RNA", at positions 524 to 896 of the family's 1533-position model. The record is from RNAcentral.
UACGAAGGGGGCUAGCGUUGCUCGGAAUCACUGGGCGUAAAGCGCACGUAGGCGGCUUACUAAGUCAGGGGUGAAAGCCUGGAGCUCAACUCCAGAACUGCCUUUGAUACUGGUGAGCUUGAGUUCGGGAGAGGUGAGUGGAACUGCGAGUGUAGAGGUGAAAUUCGUAGAUAUUCGCAAGAACACCAGUGGCGAAGGCGGCUCACUGGCCCGAUACUGACGCUGAGGUGCGAAAGCGUGGGGAGCAAACAGGAUUAGAUCCCCUGGUAGUCCACGCCGUAAACGAUGGAUGCUAGCCGUUGGUGGGUUUACUCAUCAGUGGCGCAGCUAACGCAUUAAGCAUCCCGCCUGGGGAGUACGGUCGCAAGAUUA